AUAUAAAAUUUAAAAACUUUCGCAAGCA
Molecule: transfer RNA, 28 nt
Filed under: Rajella fyllae (round ray)
Lineage: Eukaryota; Metazoa; Chordata; Chondrichthyes; Rajiformes; Rajidae
Description: partial tRNA-Phe
Source: RNAcentral